Podarcis lilfordi (Lilford's wall lizard) is the source of this 78-nucleotide non-coding RNA. NCBI's taxonomy places the organism in Eukaryota, Metazoa, Chordata, Lepidosauria, Squamata, Lacertidae. The record is from the annotation of a GenBank genome assembly.
ACCCAGCUGGGAUAGCUCAGCUGGUAGAGAAUGAGACUCAUAAUCUCAGGGUUGUGAGUUCAAGCCCCAGGUUGGGUA